AAAAAGGGCUUCUGUCAUGAGUGGCACACAUAGGGCAACUUGAUUGCUCUGUGUGCAGAAUCGAAUGCAGAAUUUAAUAUUACGAUGAAAGUUUUCCAG
RNAcentral lists this small nuclear RNA (99 nucleotides) under Castor canadensis (American beaver). RNAcentral's name for it is "U11 spliceosomal RNA (ENSCCNG00000010727.1)". It matches the Rfam family "U11 spliceosomal RNA". Lineage: Eukaryota; Metazoa; Chordata; Mammalia; Rodentia; Castoridae. The record is from RNAcentral.